GGGAAUAUAGCUCAGUGCCACAGUGCCUGCCUGGCAAGCACAAGGUCCUGGGUUUGAUUUCUGGUAUCCCCC
RNAcentral lists this transfer RNA (72 nucleotides) under Cavia porcellus (domestic guinea pig). It matches the Rfam family "tRNA". From Rfam's summary of the family: Transfer RNA (tRNA) molecules are approximately 80 nucleotides in length. Their secondary structure includes four short double-helical elements and three loops (D, anti-codon, and T loops). The record is from Rfam by way of RNAcentral. Lineage: Eukaryota; Metazoa; Chordata; Mammalia; Rodentia; Caviidae.